UGACCCAGGAAGUGUUUCUCAUCUCAGUCACACAGCCCUGUGUUGCAGAGGCUUUGUUCAAGGUAUCAGUAAUAGGAGCCCAAAUUCUCCAUCUUGGGGGACCCACUCAGGAUCAAAGGCUGUGCCCCAUGCACAGCAGAUAGAGAAUGUGAAAGGCACAUAUGAGGGACACAAUGAGAAGCCCAAGGCUUCCUGCCUCUCCUUCCUCUAAGCCCACUAGAGAAGAUCUCAGCACCAGGUCUGGGUUCAGCGAACUUUGCAGAAGAAGAGGAAGAAAGAUUCUAAGAGCCAACAGGGAUGGAAAACACCAAGGACAAUGCUUCCCA
Non-coding RNA from Cricetulus griseus (Chinese hamster), 326 nucleotides. The record is from RefSeq and is a predicted model, not a curated record. NCBI's taxonomy places the organism in Eukaryota, Metazoa, Chordata, Mammalia, Rodentia, Cricetidae.